UACGGGAGGCAGCAGUGAGGAGUAUUGGUCAAUGGACGAGAGUCUGAACCAGCCAAGUAGCGUGCAGGAUGACGGCCCUAUGGGUUGUAAACUGCUUUUAUAAGGGAAUAAAGUGAGUCUCGUGAGACUUUUUGCAUGUACCUUAUGAAUAAGGACCGGCUAAUUCCGUGCCAGCAGCCGCGGUAAUACGGAAGGUCCGGGCGUUAUCCGGAUUUAUUGGGUUUAAAGGGAGCGUAGGCCGGAGAUUAAGCGUGUUGUGAAAUGUAGACGCUCAACGUCUGCACUGCAGCGCGAACUGGUUUCCUUGAGUACGCACAAAGUGGGCGGAAUUCGUGGUGUAGCGGUGAAAUGCUUAGAUAUCACGAAGAACUCCGAUUGCGAAGGCAGCUCACUGGAGCGCAACUGACGCUGAA
Molecule: ribosomal RNA, 413 nt
Filed under: uncultured bacterium
Lineage: Bacteria
Description: bacterial SSU rRNA
Rfam family: Bacterial small subunit ribosomal RNA
Source: RNAcentral